GACGAACGCUGGCGGUGUGCUUCACACAUGCAAGUCGAACGAGGUAGCAAUACCUAGUGGCGGACGGGUGAGUAACGCGUGGGAAUCUGCCCAUAGGUGGGGGAUAACUAGCCGAAAGGUUAGCUAAUACCGCAUAUGCCGAGAGGUAAAAGGAGUAAUCCGCCUUUGGAUGAGCCCGCGUCCGAUUAGCUAGUUGGUAGGGUAAAAGCCUACCAAGGCUACGAUCGGUAGCUGGUCUGAGAGGAUGAUCAGCCACAAUGGGUACUGAGACACGGCCCAUACUCCUACGGGAGGCAGCAGUGGGGAAUUUUACGCAAUGGGGGGAAACCCUGACGUAGCGACACCGCGUGAACGAAGAAGCCCUUUGGGGUGUAAAGUUCUGUCGGCUGGAACGAAAAAAUGACGGUACCAGCAAAGGAAGCAUCGGCUAACUACGUGCCAGCAGCCGCGGUAAU
RNAcentral lists this ribosomal RNA (455 nucleotides) under uncultured bacterium. Its description in RNAcentral is "bacterial SSU rRNA". It matches the Rfam family "Bacterial small subunit ribosomal RNA", at positions 28 to 524 of the family's 1533-position model. The record is from RNAcentral.